This 321-nucleotide ribosomal RNA is filed under the name Triticum aestivum (bread wheat). Its description in RNAcentral is "partial small subunit ribosomal RNA". The record is from RNAcentral. Lineage: Eukaryota; Viridiplantae; Streptophyta; Magnoliopsida; Poales; Poaceae.
AUGGGGAUCGGCUACGUCAUCGGCAUCCUCGGCGGCGCCCUCCUCGCCCACGCCGCCUACGCCACCAUCCAAUAUCGUGCGGUGCUGAAGAUCACGGAAGAGGAGUUCUCGGGGCCGCCAGUGGAUGUGAUGAUGCAGCUGCUCCUGGGGCUUGCCUUAUGCAUGUGGGCAGGUGUCUCUGUUCCAGCGAAGUUCCUUUCGGUGCUCCCCCAUUCUGAGGAGAAUAGGAUCGUAUCGCUCCCAGCAAACCUGGAUUUCAUGAUCUUCAACCACCGUGGAAGGGCGCUGCCUUCAGACGCAGACUUGAAGUUGAAGAUAUGA